AAGAGAUGGAAAUCAAUAUUCCAAUUAAUAACAAGCCAAUAACCAAAACACCUUCCUUGCCAAUGUUCACAAAUGUCACUAUAAGAAAAAUCUAAACAUGUUUAAAAAUUAAGUUAAACAUUAAAGUUCAUAAAAUGAUGAGAGUAAUGUAAGCAGGUUUCUCUCUUUUUUUUUCUUUAGAAAAUGUAAUGUGAGUCGUAAGAUAUCAAGUUCAUUGUAAGCAGCAUAUAUAUAUAGCAUUUGUUCACCCUAAAGUAGGAAAUUUCUAACCUGACAUGCUGACAACAAGCAUUUCAUGAGAUAAUAUGAAGGGGAGCAAACUGAAUUAGCAUAUGAAAAAAAAGAAUAUAAGAUGGCUCCCUCUUUUUUGUCCUAACUCCAAUGUGAGCAUAGUUUGUAUACUUUGUCCAAAGGAAGAUAAAACUUGGCUCUCUAAAGCGCUAUACUUUUCAUCUAACAUAACCAUAGAUGCAUGUUAAGCAAUGAUGUUUGUUGCGCAUCUUGGUAUGGAUGGCUCGCAUUCACAACCAAUGAAAAAUGGUAUUCUUGUCUUGUUGAAAUUUUCUUAUUCAGAAAAGGCUAGCUGUUCAUGAUUUUUCACUCUAAUGGCUAUGUGCGCGUACACCCAUCAUACUUACGUAGCUGAACACCUCACUUUAUUUUUAUCUAAGUCAACAACCAACGUUCUUCAUUUAGUUGUCGAACCUCGCUUGUCAAAUAAUGUGGGGCCAUGAAAGUUAUGUGAUGUAGCACAAAACUCGCCUAUAGCAUUAUUUGAUGAAGGAAACAACUUUUGGCUAGUAAAUCCAUUAUAAAUACAGUAGCCUGCAUUGCUUGUUGAUCUAAAGGGCAGACAAGUUAGCAAAUUAUGUCAGUUUAGCUGGACAAUUGACUAGUUGAACCACGUCUCAUUCUCGACAUCACUUUGUCCACAGAAAAACAUAAAAAAUGAAGCAAAUUAAUAUGCUGCACUCUUUGAUCAAAAUCAACUACCUUUCAAACUUACCAGUCACCAGUUGGCCAAGUAUAGAUAUAUGAUUUCCAACUAAAGUUGUUGGGUGAAUAAAUGAUUUGGGAACCACUACUUGAUGUCUCUCUCUUUAGGCUUAAUCAUGUAUUCACGUGCUAUGUGUAUUGUAUGAGGCACGGCCCAAGUCUUCGGUAUAAAUACUAAAGAUCUACCCAAAGAGCAUAGCUCGUACGAAUCAUGACUUAAGUUCCAAUAUCUUCGCUAGGCCAAGGAUCCAAAUCUAUUCAAAUCUAAUUACAAACACCACGAUCAGCUUAUAGUUAGUCCAAAAGAUCUAAGUUGCAGUUUUUUCUAAUCUACAUGGAUUAUAGAUCGGAUCCGCUCUGAUAUUACUUUUUAAACCUUAAGAUCACACCUUAAAAAAUGAACAAAGAAGGUAUUAUUUAAGUUUUUUGGUCUUGUGUAAGUGCUUAAGAUUUACCCAGUGUAUAGUUGAUAUAGAACUAAAUAGAUACCUGCAUAAGUCCUCAUAAGUAGCCCAUCCGUUGUGGCCUGAGGUUAGUUUAAUUCGCAAAUACUCGAAUGGGUUAUCUUGGGCCAUGUAGCUCUUUCCUCCUUGCGAGUGUACAACCGCGCAUCAUUUUAGUGCGAGAUGAGUCGGAUGACCAUGAACUACUUCCUCACCAGCCGUCGAUGCCAGUUUGGCUGGGUCCCAAAAAAAAUAUAUUUUUUAGAUAUUAUUUUCUUUGAGGUCUGAAGUCAUGGUAGGUCCAUCCAUGGUUCAGAAUUAUUCCCUCAUCACAUCAAUGAUUUCUACCACGCCCCAGCAUCCGGUCAGACCAAACCAAACAGUCUCGAACUCCAUCUACUAGUGUAAGAUGUCCCCACAACAAAGAGUAAUUGGCGCUUGGCAUAUUCUUAAGAUUUGGACAGGUUCUUGACCUUCCCAAAUGAUAACUAGUCAUCAACCGCCUUUCUCUUCCCUUUGAUUCCCCUCCAAUGGACAGUGUUCUUCCUUUUAUGUAAUUUAUUCAGCCCAAUCAACCCUUAUUUGACGUAAAUACACCUGAAAAUGAGAGAGAUCAUUCCAUAUAUAGUGUACCAUAAUUUGAUUAAGCCUGCAGUCCCAAUUCAUAAAACCAUUCAUUUCACACAUCUCAACACUGGCUUUAUUGAUCCCUUCUAAAUACCAUCCCGGAUGAUGCCAAUGGACUUUUAAGUGGCAAAACGGCCUUUAUGCUGUGAUUUUUUAAGCAAAUAAUCCUCUGGGACAAGGAUUUUUGGCAUGACUAAGCCACCUUUCGCUAGCCUCGGCCAGAAGACUUCAGAUGAAUUCUGGUUGGGAGCAAGACAGGGUUAGAAGCAGAGAGGCAAAUGUCUCCUCUUUCUGUCCGCUCUUCCCACUUAAUCCAUUGAUCGCCUUUCUGAAUUGACUGACUUACUGACUUCGGAGCUGCCCUUUUAAUUGAGUUAUUCUUUGACUAUAUUUACAUCUAACACAAAAAGCAUUUAUAGUCUAGCUUAGAAAUCCAAAUUCAUCUAUUUUCUACUAAUUGCCUUAUUCACAAACUACUCCCGCAAUAUGACGCCCAAAAUUACUUGAAAAUGCUAGAACACCCCAUCAA
This 2595-nucleotide long non-coding RNA is filed under the name Phoenix dactylifera (date palm). Its description in RNAcentral is "long non-coding RNA (PDAC_LNC002451)". Lineage: Eukaryota; Viridiplantae; Streptophyta; Magnoliopsida; Arecales; Arecaceae. The record is from RNAcentral.